AGUGAACGCUGGCGGUAGGCCUAACACAUGCAAGUCGAACGGCAGCACAGUAAGAGCUUGCUCUUACGGGUGGCGAGUGGCGGACGGGUGAGGAAUACAUCGGAAUCUACUUUUUCGUGGGGGAUAACGUAGGGAAACUUACGCUAAUACCGCAUACGACAUACGGGUGAAAGCAGGGGAUCUUCGGACCUUGCGCGACUGAAUGAGCCGAUGUCGGAUUAGCUAGUGGGCGGGGUAAAGGCCCACCAAGGCGACGAUCCGUAGCUGGUCUGAGAGGAUGAUCAGCCACACUGGAACUGAGACACGGUCCAGACUCCUUCGGGAGGCAGCAGUGGGGAAUAUUGGACAAUGGGUGCAAGCCUGAUCCAGCCAUACCGCGUGGGUGAAGAUGGCCUUCGGGUUGUAAAGCCCUUUUGUUGGGAAAGAAAAGCAGCAGGUUAAUACCCCGCUGUUCUGACGGUACCCAAAGAAUAAGCACCGGCUAACUUCGUG
Molecule: ribosomal RNA, 492 nt
Filed under: uncultured bacterium
Lineage: Bacteria
Description: partial 16S ribosomal RNA
Rfam family: Bacterial small subunit ribosomal RNA
Source: RNAcentral